UGAGUAAUGCCUAGGAAUCUGCCUGGUAGUGGGGGACAACGUCUCGAAAGGGACGCUAAUACCGCAUACGUCCUACGGGAGAAAGCAGGGGACCUUCGGGCCUUGCGCUAUCAGAUGAGCCUAGGUCGGAUUAGCUAGUUGGUGAGGUAAUGGCUCACCAAGGCGACGAUCCGUAACUGGUCUGAGAGGAUGAUCAGUCACACUGGAACUGAGACACGGUCCAGACUCCUACGGGAGGCAGCAGUGGGGAAUAUUGGACAAUGGGCGAAAGCCUGAUCCAGCCAUGCCGCGUGUGUGAAGAAGGUCUUCGGAUUGUAAAGCGCUUUAAGUUGGGAGGAAGGGUUGCAGAUCAAUACCCUGCAAUUUUGACGUUACCGACAGAAUAAGCACCGGCUAACUCUGUGCCAGCAGCCGCGGUAAUACAGAGGGUGCAAGCGUUAAUCGGAAUUACUGGGCGUAAAGCGCGCGUAGGUGGUUUGUUAAGUUGGAUGUGAAAGCCCCGGG
This 504-nucleotide ribosomal RNA is filed under the name uncultured bacterium. RNAcentral describes it as "bacterial SSU rRNA". It matches the Rfam family "Bacterial small subunit ribosomal RNA", at positions 107 to 607 of the family's 1533-position model. The record is from RNAcentral.